CUCUGAAGUACUGAAUAACGAACGAGACAAUAGAUAACACUAGACAAAUAUUCCCUAUCUAAUAACUCAAAUAGUCACACGAUAAAGGAAAAAUUAGAGGAGGGGCCAAGGUGCUCGGGUUCUUGCCACUGCCGAUAGCCGAUACCAUGUCCCCACAAAUCAAUCGUUAUUGCAUCACGUAAGUUGUAAUGAUCAGCGAAUGCAAUAACUGUACCCGAGGGCCAAUCACACUGUCAAUAAACAUCACUAGUGACUUCCAAAAGUACAGCAUACCUUUUACCACAGCAGUUCGACGACCGGAGGGACUUUUUCAAGGUCCCCAAAGAGACAGGACUCAUCUGAAUACAUCGAAGUUGCCUGAAAUCAGUCGGGCAAAAAAAUGAGGAACCGGUCAUCGUUGAUGGACUGGCUUGUGUCAUUGAGUAAAUAUAAUGUUCGAAACGAGUUUACGUCUCGACACUGAUGACUCCCGUAUCCGUCGAGUCACUCCAAUAUAGUUUUUUUUUUUUUUCAGCAGCGAGUGGAGAACCGUUUGCAUUACCCUAAUUAUCCUGUUACCGUACAGUUAACGCUGGAUAAAAAGCGUGUAAGUUGGUGCGUAAAAUGGCAUUUUACGCACGAUACGAUGGAAAAAUAUUUUUAGGACAUAGGGGACAUGGUAAUAAGACCACUAGGCCCUUUUGCUGAUACAAAACAAUCGAGGAGUCAGUAUCAGGGAGUUGCAAUCAGACAGCCAACGACCAGCCGAGCGUGAACGUGCUCCAACGAAUUUAUUAAGCCGUCUCAACCGGCGGCGAACGUGACGGAUGAGAAUUAUGUACGGCUUUACAAUUAAAUUCAUCGUACGUGCCGUGGAAAACUCAACUGGAUCUACCCACACUGGGGCAUUACAAUCGGCAUUGUUCACUAUUCUGUUGUAAAAAAAAAGAAAAAUAUAUUUAUAAAAAUAAUCAACGGCAUAAAAUCACGUAUUCAUCGUAACUACUAUCUAAUGUGUCAUAAAAAAUUUAUUCAAACUGAAAAUUGAUUCUGAAAAAAUUUAAUUACCCGUCUGCCUACGUUGCAUUUCCAACAAUGAAAUUAAAUCAGCUUCUUGUGCGUGCAGUGCGAAUUAAUCCUGGGCAAAUGAUCCGUGCGGGCUUGGUAAUUUAUCCAGAUAAUCCGUGACUGAGUGGAUAAACAAUGUAACAGUGAGUUGGCUUGAAAUCGAUACGUUUAAAUUUUUUCAUUGGGAGAUCGAUAUCCUGGGGCGACAUAAAAAGGCGCCGCAUGUGGAUUAAAAUUUCGAGAAUGCCCUGGUAAUUGAACGGGUCCCUGUGGUGAACGUUAUGGUGAGAUCGCGGUGGAGUUUAAUUGUUCAACAUACCAGACAGUGGCCAGCACUCCCAAUCGAUAGCUAUCUGAGUGCAUUUUAAAUUCACCGCCGAUUCGACGUUCACUUUGACUACAACGUGACACUGGUCAAACGCAUGUUCACUACUGAACAUACGCAACACUUAUUUGAAAAUCCAUCUGAGCGUUUCGUAUUCUCGGUUAUUCAAAGCCUCGGCUGGAUGCAUUGGCACGAGUGCAUUGUCGUGCCU
Molecule: long non-coding RNA, 1583 nt
Organism: Diachasmimorpha longicaudata
Lineage: Eukaryota; Metazoa; Arthropoda; Insecta; Hymenoptera; Braconidae
Exons: 3
Source: RefSeq, a predicted model, not a curated record